RNAcentral lists this ribosomal RNA (253 nucleotides) under uncultured bacterium. RNAcentral describes it as "partial 16S ribosomal RNA". It matches the Rfam family "Bacterial small subunit ribosomal RNA", at positions 524 to 776 of the family's 1533-position model. The record is from RNAcentral.
UACGGAGGGUGCAAGCGUUGCUCGGAAUCACUGGGCGUAAAGGGUGCGUAGGCGGGUCUUUAAGUCAGGGGUGAAAUCCUGGAGCUCAACUCCAGAACUGCCUUUGAUACUGAAGAUCUUGAGUGCGGGAGAGGUGAGUGGAACUGCGAGUGUAGAGGUGAAAUUCGUAGAUAUUCGCAAGAACACCAGUGGCGAAGGCGGCUCACUGGCCCGAUACUGACGCUGAGGCACGAAAGCGUGGGGAGCAAACAGG